GUGCACGCUGGCGGUAGGCCUAACACCUGCCAGUCGAACGGCAGCACAGUAAGAGCUUGCUCUUACGGGUGGCGAGUGGCGGACGGGUGAGGAAUACAUCGGAAUCUACUUUUUCGUGGGGGAUAACGUAGGGAAACUUACGCUGAUACUGCAUACGACCUACGGGUGAAAGCAGGGGAUCUUCGGACCUUGCGCGAUUGAAUGAGCCGAUGUCGGAUUAGCUAGUUGGCGGGGUAAAGGCCCACCAAGGCGACGAUCCGUAGCUGGUCUGAGAGGAUGAUCAGCCACACUGGAACUGAGACACGGUCCAGACUCCUACGGGAGGCAGCAGUGGGGAAUAUUGGACAAUGGGCGCAAGCCUGAUCCAGCCAUACCGCGUGGGUGAAGAAGGCCUUCGGGUUGUAAAGCCCUUUUGUUGGGAAAGAAAAGCAGCAGGUUAAUACCCCGCUGUUCUGACGGUACCCAAAGAAUAAGCACCGGCUAACUUCGUG
This 491-nucleotide ribosomal RNA is filed under the name uncultured bacterium. Its description in RNAcentral is "partial 16S ribosomal RNA". It matches the Rfam family "Bacterial small subunit ribosomal RNA", at positions 29 to 507 of the family's 1533-position model. The record is from RNAcentral.